UCCUACGGGCGGCUGCAGUGGGGAAUUUUGGACAAUGGGGGCAACCCUGAUCCAGCCAUGCCGCGUGCGGGAAGAAGGCCUUCGGGUUGUAAACCGCUUUUGUCCGGGAAGAAAAGGCAUCUCCUAAUACGGGGUGUUCUUGACGGUACUGGAAGAAUAAGCACCGGCUAACUACGUGCCAGCAGCCGCGGUAAUACGUAGGGUGCGAGCGUUAAUCGGAAUUACUGGGCGUAAAGCGUGCGCAGGCGGUGAGUUAAGUCUGAUGUGAAAGCCCCGGGCUCAACCUGGGAACGGCAUUGGAAACUGGCUCGCUGGAGUGUGGCAGAGGGGGGUGGAAUUCCGCGUGUAGCAGUGAAAUGCGUAGAGAUGCGGAGGAACACCGAUGGCGAAGGCAGCCCCCUGGGCCAACACUGACGCUCAGGCACGAAAGCGUGGGGAGCAAACAGGAUUAGAUACCCUUGUAGUCGGU
RNAcentral lists this ribosomal RNA (469 nucleotides) under uncultured bacterium. Its description in RNAcentral is "bacterial SSU rRNA". It matches the Rfam family "Bacterial small subunit ribosomal RNA", at positions 337 to 798 of the family's 1533-position model. The record is from RNAcentral.